AAAUUGAAGAGUUUGAUCAUGGCUCAGAUUGAACGCUGGCGGCAGGCCUAACACAUGCAAGUCGAACGGUAACAGGAAGCAGCUUGCUGCUUUGCUGACGAGUGGCGGACGGGUGAGUAAUGUCUGGGAAACUGCCUGAUGGAGGGGGAUAACUACUGGAAACGGUGGCUAAUACCGCAUAACGUCGCAAGACCAAAGAGGGGGACCUUCAGGCCUCUUGCCAUCAGAUGUGCCCAGAU
Molecule: ribosomal RNA, 239 nt
Filed under: Salmonella enterica
Lineage: Bacteria; Pseudomonadati; Pseudomonadota; Gammaproteobacteria; Enterobacterales; Enterobacteriaceae
Description: partial 16S ribosomal RNA
Rfam family: Bacterial small subunit ribosomal RNA
Source: RNAcentral